Molecule: ribosomal RNA, 2906 nt
Filed under: Salmonella enterica subsp. enterica serovar Give
Lineage: Bacteria; Pseudomonadati; Pseudomonadota; Gammaproteobacteria; Enterobacterales; Enterobacteriaceae
Description: 23S ribosomal RNA
Rfam family: Bacterial large subunit ribosomal RNA
Source: RNAcentral
GGUUAAGCGACUAAGCGUACACGGUGGAUGCCCUGGCAGUCAGAGGCGAUGAAGGGCGUGCUAAUCUGCGAUAAGCGCCGGUAAGGUGAUAUGAACCGUUAUAACCGGCGAUACCCGAAUGGGGAAACCCAGUGUGACUCGUCACACUAUCAUUAACUGAAUCCAUAGGUUAAUGAGGCGAACCGGGGGAACUGAAACAUCUAAGUACCCCGAGGAAAAGAAAUCAACCGAGAUUCCCCCAGUAGCGGCGAGCGAACGGGGAGGAGCCCAGAGCCUGAAUCAGCAUGUGUGUUAGUGGAAGCGUCUGGAAAGGCGCGCGAUACAGGGUGACAGCCCCGUACACAAAAGCGCAUGUGCUGUGAGCUCGAUGAGUAGGGCGGGACACGUGGUAUCCUGUCUGAAUAUGGGGGGACCAUCCUCCAAGGCUAAAUACUCCUGACUGACCGAUAGUGAACCAGUACCGUGAGGGAAAGGCGAAAAGAACCCCGGCGAGGGGAGUGAAAAAGAACCUGAAACCGUGUACGUACAAGCAGUGGGAGCACCCUUUGGGGUGUGACUGCGUACCUUUUGUAUAAUGGGUCAGCGACUUAUAUUCUGUAGCAAGGUUAACCGAAUAGGGGAGCCGGAGGGAAACCGAGUCUUAACCGGGCGUUAAGUUGCAGGGUAUAGACCCGAAACCCGGUGAUCUAGCCAUGGGCAGGUUGAAGGUUGGGUAACACUAACUGGAGGACCGAACCGACUAAUGUUGAAAAAUUAGCGGAUGACCUGUGGCUGGGGGUGAAAGGCCAAUCAAACCGGGAGAUAGCUGGUUCUCCCCGAAAGCUAUUUAGGUAGCGCCUCGUGAAUUCAUCUCCGGGGGUAGAGCACUGUUUCGGCUAGGGGGCCAUCCCGGCUUACCAACCCGAUGCAAACUGCGAAUACCGGAGAAUGUUAUCACGGGAGACACACGGCGGGUGCUAACGUCCGUCGUGAAGAGGGAAACAACCCAGACCGCCAGCUAAGGUCCCAAAGUCAUGGUUAAGUGGGAAACGAUGUGGGAAGGCCCAGACAGCCAGGAUGUUGGCUUAGAAGCAGCCAUCAUUUAAAGAAAGCGUAAUAGCUCACUGGUCGAGUCGGCCUGCGCGGAAGAUGUAACGGGGCUAAACCAUGCACCGAAGCUGCGGCAGCGACGCUGAUGCGUUGUUGGGUAGGGGAGCGUUCUGUAAGCCUGCGAAGGUGGCCUGUGAGGGUUGCUGGAGGUAUCAGAAGUGCGAAUGCUGACAUAAGUAACGAUAAAGCGGGUGAAAAGCCCGCUCGCCGGAAGACCAAGGGUUCCUGUCCAACGUUAAUCGGGGCAGGGUGAGUCGACCCCUAAGGCGAGGCCGAAAGGCGUAGUCGAUGGGAAACGGGUUAAUAUUCCCGUACUUGGUGUUACUGCGAAGGGGGGACGGAGAAGGCUAUGUUGGCCGGGCGACGGUUGUCCCGGUUUAAGCGUGUAGGUGUGUGUUCCAGGUAAAUCCGGUUCACUUUAACACUGAGGCGUGAUGACGAGGCACUACGGUGCUGAAGCAACAAAUGCCCUGCUUCCAGGAAAAGCCUCUAAGCAUCAGGUAACAUCAAAUCGUACCCCAAACCGACACAGGUGGUCAGGUAGAGAAUACCAAGGCGCUUGAGAGAACUCGGGUGAAGGAACUAGGCAAAAUGGUGCCGUAACUUCGGGAGAAGGCACGCUGACACGUAGGUGAAGUGAUUUACUCAUGGAGCUGAAGUCAGUCGAAGAUACCAGCUGGCUGCAACUGUUUAUUAAAAACACAGCACUGUGCAAACACGAAAGUGGACGUAUACGGUGUGACGCCUGCCCGGUGCCGGAAGGUUAAUUGAUGGGGUCAGCGCAAGCGAAGCUCCUGAUCGAAGCCCCGGUAAACGGCGGCCGUAACUAUAACGGUCCUAAGGUAGCGAAAUUCCUUGUCGGGUAAGUUCCGACCUGCACGAAUGGCGUAAUGAUGGCCAGGCUGUCUCCACCCGAGACUCAGUGAAAUUGAACUCGCUGUGAAGAUGCAGUGUACCCGCGGCAAGACGGAAAGACCCCGUGAACCUUUACUAUAGCUUGACACUGAACAUUGAGCCUUGAUGUGUAGGAUAGGUGGGAGGCUUUGAAGUGUGGACGCCAGUCUGCAUGGAGCCGGCCUUGAAAUACCACCCUUUAAUGUUUGAUGUUCUAACGUGGACCCGUGAUCCGGGUUGCGGACAGUGUCUGGUGGGUAGUUUGACUGGGGCGGUCUCCUCCUAAAGAGUAACGGAGGAGCACGAAGGUUGGCUAAUCCUGGUCGGACAUCAGGAGGUUAGUGCAAUGGCAUAAGCCAGCUUGACUGCGAGCGUGACGGCGCGAGCAGGUGCGAAAGCAGGUCAUAGUGAUCCGGUGGUUCUGAAUGGAAGGGCCAUCGCUCAACGGAUAAAAGGUACUCCGGGGAUAACAGGCUGAUACCGCCCAAGAGUUCAUAUCGACGGCGGUGUUUGGCACCUCGAUGUCGGCUCAUCACAUCCUGGGGCUGAAGUAGGUCCCAAGGGUAUGGCUGUUCGCCAUUUAAAGUGGUACGCGAGCUGGGUUUAGAACGUCGUGAGACAGUUCGGUCCCUAUCUGCCGUGGGCGCUGGAGAACUGAGGGGGGCUGCUCCUAGUACGAGAGGACCGGAGUGGACGCAUCACUGGUGUUCGGGUUGUCAUGCCAAUGGCACUGCCCGGUAGCUAAAUGCGGAAGAGAUAAGUGCUGAAAGCAUCUAAGCACGAAACUUGCCCCGAGAUGAGUUCUCCCUGAGACUUAGAGUCUCCUGAAGGAACGUUGAAGACGACGACGUUGAUAGGCCGGGUGUGUAAGCGCAGCGAUGCGUUGAGCUAACCGGUACUAAUGAACCGUGAGGCUUAACCUU